AUGAAGAAGACUGGAGAGCAUGCUGAGAAGUCUACCCACCCAUCAGAGAUCGUCUGGGUCGAAGCUGGCGCCGUCUCUCCGGUUGUGAGGAAACAAGGCGGUUGUGGCUGUUGUUGGGCCAUGGCUACGACAGCAUCGGUCGAAGCAGCACACUAUCUGAAGACCUUGCAAUCAAUCUCCCUAUCGGUUCAAGAGCUCAUCGACUGCAACACGGAGAACAACGGUUGCAACGAGGGUACACCUGAUCUAUUUAACUACAAAGGAGGCAUCAUGGAGUGCGAAGCUCUAGCUGAUGGUAGCGCAACUACAUGGCAUGCAUUCCUGAUUGUCGGUUAUGGUACGGAUCCUGAUGGCAUUAAGUAUUGGCGCUUCAAGAACUCGUGGGGAAAGGAUUGGGGCGAGGGGGGAUUUGGGAGGAUCAGUAGGCACGUUGCUGACGAGCAAGGUGCCUUGGGUAUGUUUAUGUAUGGAGGACUAUAUCCAGUGAUUGACUAA
This 495-nucleotide ribosomal RNA is filed under the name Triticum aestivum (bread wheat). RNAcentral describes it as "partial small subunit ribosomal RNA". Lineage: Eukaryota; Viridiplantae; Streptophyta; Magnoliopsida; Poales; Poaceae. The record is from RNAcentral.